Eriocheir sinensis (Chinese mitten crab) is the source of this 707-nucleotide long non-coding RNA. RefSeq lists it as uncharacterized. The transcript has 3 exons. Lineage: Eukaryota; Metazoa; Arthropoda; Malacostraca; Decapoda; Varunidae. The record is from RefSeq and is a predicted model, not a curated record.
CUCCUCAAAAUCAGGUGUCGCCAGGAACCGGUGGCUGGAGGAGGGCGGAGGCGCCUGUGUGUCGGUCGGACGUGAAGCACCUGGGCACAACACCUCGCCCGGGGCACGGCAUUGAGUCAUGAAUGCACAGUUGCCUUGGUGUGAGCGUGAUGCAAGGGCAGGAGGGCAGGGGAAGGGGAGGGCCAGGCAGGGGGGGUGAGGGGGCAGGCAGUCACAAGCGGUGGUCUGGUCCCCUUCCCCCCUACCCGGACUAGGUAAGACCGCCCCUCCCUCCACCCUUUUGCUUGCCUCAGUCACACCCAGGCCAAGUUUUUACCUUCCCUGCUGCCCUGUGCGUCCUGCCCGCCUUGCUGCAGUCACGGCUUCGAGAUCAAGAGAGACAACCCUGGAUUUGCUUUAGUAUGUUAAUGGAGUCCUUGGCAUGGGGCGGCGGGUUGGACCAGUUUUCGGCGGGCAGGAGAACAGGACGUCACAGCCAACACACACUACCCAACUCAGAAGCAGCGUCUCCUCUUCGGGUUUCCGCCGUCGCCGCCGCCUCAGCCUCGCCCAGCACACUCCCUCCUCCUGAUGCUGACGCCGAGCUCUCCUGGGACUUCUCGGAUGGCGCUGCACUUCCUCCUCCUGACGCUGAAAUGACUGUUGUACUUGGUGGUCUUACUGAUGGAAUUAUGUUUAUUAUUUUUGAGUGUUACAAUAGAAAGAUA